AUAGACGUGCAGAUAAUUUUCAUAAUCUAUUAAGAAGACUAAGAUGAUAAUGUGUAUUAAACAAACUUCAGAAGUCAAUGAUAAUUUGUUUCUGUUAGUGGCAUUUUAAGUUCUUCUGUCGAAUUACUUGAUCAACUUCUCUCAUAAAUAUUUCUGAAUCCCAUCUUCAGCCAAUUGCCACUAUUCAAAAUUUCAAAAUUAUUAAUCAAACCUGAGAAGUUGAAAUAGUUUCUUGUAUUCUUCCAUCAGAUCCUGAGAACUUGAAAGGAAAGGGAAGGAGAAGUUGGUUUGGCACUGACUAGUGAAAGUUACAAUCAUGGAAAGAGCAAAAGACAUCGAAGGAGAAAGAGAGAAAGGGAAAGCAAUCAAAUCAUCGGUGUCAUUUUCUGCUCUUUGCGAGGACAUUGUCUAUGUUCUGGAUUUCAUAGAGAGCUUAAAGAAUGAAGAAUAUCAAAAACCUCUUGCCGUGGAUCUAAUUGAAAAGCUGAAAUUGGAGCUGGCAUUUAUUUCUAUAUAUGUCCAGCUUUCUUAUUCCGAUUUGGAAGAUUUUGAAGAUAUAAUGACUAGCAAAAGACAAGAUGUUGCAGAUCUGCUUAAAUCAAUUUUGGAUCAUUUUGACUACCAAGUGCGGUUUAAAUACGACAUGCAUCGCGUCGUUCCUCGCCUCGUAGAUGGAAUGAAAUAUUUUAUCAGGUCACAUCAUCAUUCUAAACCAACUGUCACCAUGACAGAGGAGCAGAUGGACUUCCUGCUCCUGAAUCUCCAUCAUCUAUCCAAGUAUCGUUCUGAACAGAUUUUUCCAUUAGUGACUCAAUAUGAGAUUCUUAAGAAUGUAUGUGUCAACAUAAAAGAUUUUCAUGGGUUGAAAAUGAAUGGUUGCGUUGAGCCUGAGAUUGUUGAAUAUGUCUUACCUCAGUUUCAACUAAUGGCUGAGAGAGUAGGACAUUUCCUUUGGGAUGAUCAGAUUGAUGAAGAUUCUCGACUCUUCAAGCUAGCACAUCUAUUCUUGAAGAUUAUUCCAAUUGAACUGGAGGUUAUGCACAUAACCUAUACAAAUUUAAAAGAUUCAAAGUCAACAGAAGUUGAACGCUUCAUUAAGCAGCUCCUAGAAACCUCUCCGAACAUACUUAGAGAAUAUCUGAUUCAUCUACAAGAGCACAUGGUAAAUGUUAUUACCGUUAGCACUUCAGGGGCCAGAAACAUUCAUGUCAUGAUAGAGUUCCUAUUAAUUAUUCUUACUGAUGUUCCCAUGGACAUUAUUCUUCAUGACAAAUUACUUGAUCUCCUGGCAUGCGUCGGAGAACUAACAAGGGAAGUAUCGACUCUUGUUCGUGACCUAGAAGAAAAACCAAGAAAUGAAGAGAGCUCUUGUGGAAAAUACCACGCAACUUCAGACUUGCCGCAAAAUAUUGAACACCUGAAGAGAGAUCUCAAAUGUGUUUACUUAAAAGCACCAGACUCAUCUGAACUCCGCUUCCCCAUGAGUGAUGGACCCCUCUUCAUGCAUCUUUUACUCAGACACUUAAAUAACUUGCUAGAUUCUAAUGCAUAUUCAGUUGCUUUGAUAAAUGAAGAAAUUGGGGUGGUGAAAAUAGACCUUGAAUUCAUAAGAUCUUUCUUCGUGAAUGUUGAGCAAGAAUUGUAUAAAGAUCUUUGGGCACGUGUUUUAGAUGUGGCAUAUGAGGCUAAAGAUGUCAUUGAUUCAAUUAUUGUAAGAGAUAAUGGUCUUUUACAUCUUAUUUUCUCACUACCCCUUGCUAUAGAAAAGAUCAAGCUUAUCAAAGAAGAGGUCUCCAAUUUACUUGAGAAGAUUCCCAAGAAUAGGAGCCUCAUUUUUGCCAACUUUCCCAACAAGCCAGUUGAAAGCAAGUCAUCAAAAGCUGAGAAAAUAAUUGUAGGGUUUGAGGAGGAGACGAACAUGAUAAUUAGGAAGCUUACCGGUGGACAGGUAGAGCUAGAUGUCAUUUCGAUCACUGGUAUGGCGGGUUCUGGAAAAACUACUUUGGCAUAUAAAAUAUACAAUGACAAGUCAGUUUUAAGUCAUUUCGACAUUCACGCAUGGUGCACAGUCGACCAAGAAUAUGAUGAGAAGAACUUGUUGGAGAAACUUUUUAAACAAGUUACUGGCUCGAAUUCGACUUUUGAUGUUGCUGAUGAGCUACGGAAACAUCUGUUUGGAAAAAGGUACCUUAUAGUCUUAGAUGACUUGUGGGAUACUACAGCAUGGGAUGAGUUAACAAGACCUUUUCCUAAAGUUGAGAAAGGAAGUAGAAUUAUUUUGACGAGUCGGGAUAAGAAAAUAGCUUUGCACGCACAAUGCCACAGUGAUCCUCUUGAUCUUCGAUUGCUAAGACCCGAAGAAAGUUGGGAGUUAUUAGAGAAAAAGGUCUUUGGAAAAGAAUGUUGCCCUGAUGAACUAUUGGAUAUUGGAAAAGAAAUAGUCCAAAAUUGUAAAGGGCUUCCUUUGGUGGCUGAUCUGAUUGCUGGAGUCAUAGCGAGGAAGGAAAGGAAAAGAACUGUGUGGCUUGAAAUUCGAAAUAAUUUGCAUUCCUUUAUUUUCAAUAAUGAAUUGGAAGUGAUGAAGAUUAUAGGACUAAGUUAUGACCAUUUGCCAGAUCCCGUAAAGCCGUGCUUACUAUACCUUGUAAGUUAUCCAAGGGACAAAGCAAUUUCCGUCAAUGUUUUGAAAGAUUAUUGGUGUGCCGAAGGAUUUGCGGAACAGACAAAAAUGAACAGUGUGGAAGAAGUGAUGGAGGAUUAUUUGGAUAGUUUAAUUUCCAGUAGCUUGGUAAUUCAUUUUAAUGAGAUAGGUAGAGACCGGACUUGCCAACUUCAUGAUCUUGUGCAUGAAUUUUGUGUGAUAAAAGCAAGAGAGGAAAAAUUUUCUGACUUGAUAACUUCAAGUGCUCCAUCAUUUUCGUCAGAUUUGAUGCCACGUCACAUAACCCUUUCUUAUGCUAAGAAGCGCUUUGGGCAUAACAAAAUUGUCCUGUUGGAUUCAAAAAAGAAAUGGUAUUCUGGUAAACACCUCUAUUCUUUGGGCAUAUCUGCAAACAAGCUGGACGAUCGUAUUUCUGAUAUAUGUCACCUAAGACAUUUGAGGCUUCUUAGAGUGUUGAUCCUGGAUAACGAAUUUAUAAAGGUGAAAGAUUCUUUGCUGAAUGAAAUAUGCUCCUUGACUCACUUGAGGUACUUAAACAUUCACACAAAAGUGAAAUCUCUGCCUUUGUCUUUCUCAAACCUCUGGAAUCUAGAAACUCUGGACGUGCAAAACGACGGACCACCCUUGGUACUACUACCGAUAAUUUGGAAUCUUGUAAAGUUGCGAGUCUUGGCCAUAAUUACAUGUUCUUUCUUUGAUUUGGAUAAUGAUGAACCAAUACUGAUAGCAGAGAACUCAAAGUUAGACAACUUGAAAAUAUUAGAGGUACUCGAUCUUUCCUAUUCGAAAGACACGGAGGAUAUUUUCAAAAGUUUUCCCAAUCUUCAACAUCUUAAUUUUAAUCUCAACAAAUCAUGGGAUUGUUCAACUGAGCAAUAUUGGUUCCCAAAUUUGGACUUCCUAAAUAAGCUAGAAAUCCUCAAAGUAACUUCUGAAAGUUCAAAUUCAAAUCUGCUGUGGGAUUUUCGCUUCCCUUCGAGUUUGAAAGAAUUGUGGUUGCGUAAGUUUUCUCUGACAUCCGAUUCACUAUCAACAAUAGCGAGACUGCCCAACCUUGAAGUGUUGUUUCUUUGUCGCCUAAUCAUCCAGGGAGGAGAAUGGAACAUGGGGGUGGAAGACACCUUUGAGAAUCUCAAAUGUUUGAUGUUGGAGCGAGUGAAUCUUGUUAAGUGGGAGGUUAGAGAGGAAUCCUUUCCCGUGCUUGAGAAAUUAGAACUGUGGGAAUGUCUUAAGCUUGAGGAGAUUCCGCUUAGUUUUGGGGAUAUUUGUUCACUAAAGUUUAUCGAUGUGUUGGAGAGCCCUCAACUUGAAGAAUCCGCUUUGGAGAUUAAGAAAUAUGUUGAAGAAAUGAUGGGAGAAGACAAGCUUCAGGUCAGGGGCCUGAGUGAGUCCUGAACGCUCUAACUGUGGGAAAAUAUAGAGCAUGUAAGGAAUACAUCCAGCUUUGGAGGUUUGCAUAUCAUAUGUUACUCCUCAAGUCCAGAUACUUGAGGGAGUAAUAUAUACUACAUUAAGUCCAUUAAAGAGAGAUGAAAUGUCAACUGACUCUCAUUGAUCUAGAGUAGCUCCCCCACUGUGUAACCAGUGUGUUAGUGUGACAAUGGAGUCCAAAGGAAAAGACAGAUUACUUUGCUUUGCCACUGUGCUUGUUCUCCGUGGUGCUAGAUUAUAUUGAAAACAUAUACCGGUCUUCAUGAGAUUGCUAACUCUUGUAAGAACUUAGGGUAUUUCCUUCCAAGCCAAAUGCAUGCGCAAGAACCGAAUGUAUCCUUGACAGAGCAAGGCCGUGUAGCUGUCUGAGCUGGCUUCCCUAAGCUCCACUCAGUUCUAUACUUCUGUCGCCAAAUGACAAGUGCCAACUUGGUUACUAUUGCAAGGAACCGUCCUAUCUUGAUCAGACUACCUUUGUGUAUAAUCAAGCCUCAAACUCCUGAUUAUCUAGCCCUUGGACCGCUCGGUGCUGGUUUUGGAGCCAUCAUGCAACACUGCAAGGGAUUGUGGCGACUUUUGCUUUCUGGCCUCCUUAUGGAUCUCGUGGUCGAGUACAUCGAGGCCCAUGCUAAGAAGCUAGAGAUGCUCUCCGCAACUUUUGGAGGGGAUAGUGAUCUAGGCCUCUACUACGUGCUCUCCGGUUGUGAAAGCCUCCAUAAGUUGGAGGUCAGGGACUGCCCCAUUGGUGACAAGUCUAAAAACAUCAUAGAACUACGAAUUGAACACCAAAUCAAAUGAAACCAAAAGUGCACACAAGUCUAAAAACAUCAUACGAACUUGCUCGCGCAAUCAAAUCGCCAACAUAACACCUGGAACUAAGAAUUAAACACCAAAUCAAAUGAAAUUUUCAAGAAAAUUUUGAAACUUCUAUUUUCACGGCCGGACGUCCAAAUCACGUCAAACCAACUCCGUUUCUCACCAAAUUUCACAAACAAG
Nicotiana attenuata is the source of this 5089-nucleotide RNA transcript. It is a transcript of the gene named putative late blight resistance protein homolog R1A-3, with no coding region annotated. Lineage: Eukaryota; Viridiplantae; Streptophyta; Magnoliopsida; Solanales; Solanaceae. The record is from RefSeq and is a predicted model, not a curated record. The transcript has 5 exons.